GAGCGUGCGUCCUAUUAGCUAGUUGGUGAGGCAAUGGCUCACCAAGGCUACGAUGGGUAGGGGUUCUUAGUGGAAGAUCCCCCACACUGGCACUGAGAUACGGGCCAGACUCCUACGGGAGGCAGCAGUAGGGAAUAUUGGUCAAUGGGCGAAAGCCUGAACCAGCCAUGCCGCGUGCAGGAUGACAGCUCUCUGAGUUGUAAACUGCUUUUGUACAGGAGCAAAACAAUCCCUGCGGGGGUUCUUGAGAGUACUGUAAGAAUAAGCACCGGCUAAUUCCGUGCCAGCAGCCGCGGUAAUACGGAAGGUGCAAGCGUUAUCCGGUUUUAUUGGGUUUAAAGGGUGCGUAGGCGGCUUAUUAAGUCAGUUGUGAAAUCCUAGUGCUUAACGCUAGAACUGCAAUUGAUACUAUUAGGCUUGAGUUA
RNAcentral lists this ribosomal RNA (425 nucleotides) under Cardinium endosymbiont of Bemisia tabaci. Its description in RNAcentral is "bacterial SSU rRNA". It matches the Rfam family "Bacterial small subunit ribosomal RNA", at positions 227 to 649 of the family's 1533-position model. Lineage: Bacteria; Pseudomonadati; Bacteroidota; Cytophagia; Cytophagales; Amoebophilaceae. The record is from RNAcentral.